This 23-nucleotide small nuclear RNA is filed under the name Arabidopsis thaliana (thale cress). RNAcentral's name for it is "snRNA_12475". The record is from RNAcentral. Lineage: Eukaryota; Viridiplantae; Streptophyta; Magnoliopsida; Brassicales; Brassicaceae.
GUUGUUUAAAUUCACGAUCUUUU